GCCUUUGUGGCGCAGUGGUAACGCGUCGCACUUGUACUGCUAAAAUUGCAAUCAAUGCGAAGAUCACAAGUUCAAUUCUUGUCGGAGGCA
This is a transfer RNA of Cladophialophora immunda, 90 nucleotides long. It matches the Rfam family "tRNA". From Rfam's summary of the family: Transfer RNA (tRNA) molecules are approximately 80 nucleotides in length. The record is from Rfam. Lineage: Eukaryota; Fungi; Ascomycota; Eurotiomycetes; Chaetothyriales; Herpotrichiellaceae.